Molecule: ribosomal RNA, 377 nt
Filed under: uncultured bacterium
Lineage: Bacteria
Description: bacterial SSU rRNA
Rfam family: Bacterial small subunit ribosomal RNA
Source: RNAcentral
UAAUACAGAGGAUGCAAGCGUUAUCCGGAAUGAUUGGGCGUAAAGCGUCUGUAGGUGGCUUUUCAAGUCCACCGUCAAAUCCCAGGGCUCAACCCUGGACAGGCGGUGGAAACUACCAAGCUGGAGUACGGUAGGGGCAGAGGGAAUUUCCGGUGGAACGGUUAAAUGUUUUGAGAUCGGAAAGAACGCCAACAGCGAAAGCACUCUGCUGGGCCGAAACUGACACUGAUAGACGAAAGCUAGGGGAGCAAAUGGGAUUAGUGACCCCCCUAGUCCUAGCCGUAAACGAUGGAUACUAGGUGUUGUGCGGAUCCACCCGUACAGUUCCGUAGCUAACGCGUUAAGUAUCCCGCCUGGGGAGUACGUUCGCAAGAAUG